UACGUAAGGGGCAAGCGUUGUCCGGAAUCACUGGGCGUAAAGGGCGCGUAGGCGGUUCGUUAAGUCGGGAGUGAAAGCGCUGGGCCUAACCCAGCAACGGCUCUCGAGACUGGCGAGCUAGAGGGUCCUAGGGGAUUGUGGAAUUCCAGGUGUAGCGGUGAAAUGCGUAGAUAUCUGGGAGAACACCCGUGGCGAAGGCGGCAAUCUGGGGGAUACCUGACGCUGAGGCGCGAAAGCUAGGGGAGCGAACGGG
Molecule: ribosomal RNA, 253 nt
Filed under: uncultured bacterium
Lineage: Bacteria
Description: partial 16S ribosomal RNA
Rfam family: Bacterial small subunit ribosomal RNA
Source: RNAcentral